This 930-nucleotide long non-coding RNA is filed under the name Malus domestica (apple). RNAcentral's name for it is "long non-coding RNA (MDOM_LNC005415)". The record is from RNAcentral. Lineage: Eukaryota; Viridiplantae; Streptophyta; Magnoliopsida; Rosales; Rosaceae.
AUGGCCGUGUUGAAGCAGUAUAUAGUAGUGGCAGUGCACCUUCACUUGAUAAAGCGAUGAGGGCUGUAUCAGCUAACCCCUAUUGUUAUGAACAUAGCGAUCUGUGGUGGUAUGCAAAAGGGUUAUUGAAAGCUAACCCUCAGAAGAGAGCAACGCUACUGAAGGUGGGGACACGUGAGGUUAGUUGGCUACGAAGUCACAUGUCCGAGGAUUAAGUUGGCCUUGGAUUGGACCGGAUAGGAUGCGCUUAAAAUUUGAUACUCAUUAUAUCUAAAUAGGCCGUCAGAUGAAUCUGAGAUUCCCAACCUCGUGCUAGAUACUUUUGAAAAACUCUACAGGUAGUUAUUUUCUAAAUAACUUCACAGUUGCAUGCUUCUGCUGCAUAAUUGCGAGUGCAGUCCGAUACUGGUGGCUGCCGGCUGAGGUUUUUGUUUUUUUUUUUUAAUGGUUCAAGUGAAGUUUCCUCUGAAUGCGAUCUGCCUUUGUUGAUUUUUUUUUUUUUUUUUUUUUUUUCAUCACUGGAAGGCACGUCAUCCACCCUAUGGGCUCAUCUGGGAAAGGGAAGGGAAAAAGGAAGAGCACUUAUCAGCAACUUGUCGUGCAAGCUAAUACUGAUGCAAACGAAAAUGACAAAGUAGUUGCUUUAGGAGGGGGGAGAGUGGGUGAUGCAUCGACAUCAUCAGAACAGAGUGAUGGCCCUGUUGAAGCAGUAUAUAGUAGUGGCAGUGCACCUUCCCUUGAUGAAGCGAUGAGGGCUGUAUCAGCUAACCCCUAUUGUUAUGAACAUGGCGAUCUGUGGUGGUAUGCAAAAGGGGUAUUAAAAGCUAACCCUGGGAAGAGAGCAACGCUACUGAAGGUGGGGACACGUAAGGUUAGUUGGCUACGAAGUCAAAUGUCUGAGGAUUAAGUUGGCCUUGGAUUGGACCGGAU